RNAcentral lists this long non-coding RNA (822 nucleotides) under Gadus morhua (Atlantic cod). Its description in RNAcentral is "lncRNA (ENSGMOG00000033533.1)". Lineage: Eukaryota; Metazoa; Chordata; Actinopteri; Gadiformes; Gadidae. The record is from RNAcentral.
UUUGUUCUUAUCAAGCUAGCUUUACUGACUUCUUAAUAUUAGGGUCAUCAUGUCUGUCUUGCAUGGUUGAAUAAACUUUUUCUUUGUCCAGAUGUCAGUAUGCCAGGAGAACAGGGGUCAGAAGAUGAGUUCAGCAUGUCAUCCCUGCACAAGUGUACCUCUGCAUCACAAGUCCAAAACCAGGGAGUAUCUUCGACAGAUGUCAGUGUGCCAGGAGAACAGGGUUCAGAAGAUGAGGUCAGCAUAUCAUCCUUGCAGGAAGGUACCUCCACAUCACAAUUCGAAAACCAGUGUGUGUCUACAAAAAAGAGAGGUAAGCAAGCCGCUGUAAAACGUUGGACACCAGAGGAAAUUGCUGCAGUAGAAAAACAUCUGAAGAUGUUCAUUGUGAGGCAAGAUGUUCCAGGUAAAGCAGACUGUGAGCGCUGCAUUUCUGCAGAACCGCAAGCGCUACAAAAAAGAGACUGGAAAGCAGUCAAAUAUUUCAUCAAAAAUAGAAUAACUGCCAAAAGAAGAAAAUUAGAAUGAAAGCAGUUCACUGAUAAGAUGUAUGGACACACAUUUUCAGUUUGACUUGGCUUGUGUUUUCAGCCUGUUUACAGCCUGUUUAUGUUGGAUACAUAAUGUAGCUUUGAGUAUUCUGUAUUCUUCUACUCUACUUCUGUAUUUUGUUUUCCUGUAAUCAUUUGUUGCAGCCCUAGUUCAGUCUCAAUUUUGCCUAGAGCAUGGUUACUAUUUCAUCAAAGUGUGAAAUGUAGUUGUUAUUUCCAUAAAUAAAUACAUGCUCCUUCAGGACAACUUGUUGAAAGCAUUUUAUUUUAU